UGAGUACCGCCAUGUCUGUUGGGCAUCAACAAUCUUCCACCAGGCAUUGUGGUCUUUGC
Molecule: microRNA precursor, 59 nt
Filed under: Pteropus alecto (black flying fox)
Lineage: Eukaryota; Metazoa; Chordata; Mammalia; Chiroptera; Pteropodidae
Description: microRNA pal-mir-1911 precursor
Source: miRBase by way of RNAcentral